GUCCACGCUGUAACGAUGAAUGCUAGGUGUAGGGUAUCGACUCCCUCUGUGCCGCAGCUAACGCAUUAAGCAUUCCGCCUGGGAGUACGGCCGCAAGGUUAAACUCAAAGGAAUUGACGGGGCCCGCACAAGCGGUGGAGUAUGUGGUUUAAUUCGAUGAUACGCGAGGAACCUUACCUGGUCUUGACAUGCAAGGAACCUGAUGGAAACUUCGGGGUGCCCAGCAAUGGGAACCUUGACACAGGUGGUGCAUGGCCGUCGU
RNAcentral lists this ribosomal RNA (262 nucleotides) under uncultured bacterium. RNAcentral's name for it is "partial 16S ribosomal RNA". It matches the Rfam family "Bacterial small subunit ribosomal RNA", at positions 793 to 1055 of the family's 1533-position model. The record is from RNAcentral.